RNAcentral lists this ribosomal RNA (300 nucleotides) under Pycnococcus provasolii. RNAcentral describes it as "partial Bacterial large subunit ribosomal RNA". It matches the Rfam family "Bacterial large subunit ribosomal RNA", at positions 1649 to 1955 of the family's 2925-position model. Lineage: Eukaryota; Viridiplantae; Chlorophyta; Pseudoscourfieldiophyceae; Pseudoscourfieldiales; Pycnococcaceae. The record is from RNAcentral.
CCAAACCGACACAGGUGGGCAAGUAGAGAAUACUAAGGGGCGCGAGAUAACUCUCUCUAAGGAACUCGGCAAAAUGGCCCCGUAACUUCGGGAGAAGGGGUGCCGGAUUAUAUCCGGCCGCAGCGACCAGGCCCAAGCGACUGUUUACCAAAAACACAGGUCUCUGCUAAGUCGUAAGACGACGUAUAGGGGCUGACGCCUGCCCAAUGCCAGAAUGUUAACAGGAGAUGUCAGGCCUUCGGGUUGAAGCAUUGAAUCGAAGCACUGGUGAAUGGCGGCCGUAACAAUAACGGUCCUAAG